CUUGCGCCGGAUCGGUGGAUCAGGUGCUGCCUACGACGGCACGACGGUUCCGGCCGGGUCGCGGUUCAGCUCGAAUCCGGGGGGCAGGG
This 89-nucleotide transfer RNA is filed under the name Streptomyces fumanus. RNAcentral's name for it is "tRNA-Val". Lineage: Bacteria; Bacillati; Actinomycetota; Actinomycetes; Kitasatosporales; Streptomycetaceae. The record is from RNAcentral.